Molecule: RNA transcript, 1496 nt
Organism: Oncorhynchus keta (chum salmon)
Lineage: Eukaryota; Metazoa; Chordata; Actinopteri; Salmoniformes; Salmonidae
Exons: 8
Source: RefSeq, a predicted model, not a curated record
CCUUGACACACACAUUGUGCAUUGGUACCAUAUAACAAACGGAGACACAUACCCAGAAAUGGUUUCUCAUCUCUCCCUCUCCAUCCUCCUCCUCAUCUUCUCCAGACUCUCAGGUGCUUAUCGUGUGUCUGUGAAGACAGGAGACUCCAUCACCAUCCCAUGUACCUAUGAUCAUUAUUAUAUCAAACAUUCUAAAUACUUAUGUAAAGGAGAUCAUUUUGAUAGUUGCUCCCAUGGUGUACACGCUAAACCUCCUAAGGGCACAGCUAAGGCCUCAGUCUUUGAUGACAUCAACCAGCUAACCAUGACCGUGACUAUGACUGAUCUGGAGCCAGAGGACUCUGGACGUUACUAUUGUGCUGUGGGGGUCAAUGGUGGACCAGAUGUCAGGGCAGAAUGGUUCCACCUAUCUGUCAUACCAGGUACUCCAGAACUCUAUGUGGACCAACAGGAGGUGACUGGAGUUGAAGGAGGGAGUGUCAUUGUAAAUUGUUACUAUAGUAACACUGGAAAUAGGAAGGGGUGGUGCAGGAUUGGUGGCAGUGGGUCCUGUGUGGGGGUGGAUUCUGGGACAAUAACCGGAACAUCAGUGACUCUACAGCAGACCACUGAUGCCCCCAGAAGAAAUGUCUUAACGGUGACUAUGAGUGGACUGAAGAUGGAGAACACUGGCUGGUACAGGUGUGGAGUGGGAGACCUUAUGAUGCCUGUUCACAUCACUGUCAGACAACAAACUACCACACAAAGUACCUCCACUAUGACCAGUGAGUAGAGAGCAAUCAGAUGCACAGAAUUAAGUAUUAACCUGGUUUAUCCUGUUUUGCCACUGAACAAUCCUCUUUCUCUCCAACUGCUGAGCCUGUUCAGACUGACAACACAGUCCAAGGACCUGAGGGGAGCAAGGAGAAGGACACCAUGAGUUCUAUAGAUCUAGAUGUCCUACUGAUUCCUCUGGGCAUGUUGGUGGUGGUGAUAUCUGGUGUUCUAGUCACAUGGAAGAUGUGGAGAAAGUAUAAGGACAAUAAGGCCUUGGACCAGACAACAAACACCUCAGUGGACCCAUUUCAUGCCGAUGAUGAUGGUGAUGUGACAUACAGCACUGUUGUCCCCAAGAGGAGGAACCAGUUAAAUCUACAGACCAAGGGACAACCAUAUGAUGUGGUCUACAGCUCACUAGUCCUACACCCCACAGAGGGCAGGAACACAGCAGUGACUGACUGAGUGAAGAUCUUGGUCCUAAAGAGCCCUUAUCCUGGAAAGACAGACCAUUCCCCCUCCUGUGUCACAACAUGAGUCAUGACCAUCCAUCUGCCUCCAAUAUGCUACUGCCCACACCUCCUAACCCACCUGUCUCCUUGUGUCCAUAAUCUACUGAAGACAGUCUACUGUGCUCGUAUUGAUUAGCCCUUUUCAAUGCCCUUUUCCCUUGUAACUGAUCAUGAUCAAAUGUGUAUAUUAAAUGUACAAAAUAAAUAGCUGUUGCUGAAUGCAAAAUG